Long non-coding RNA from Myxocyprinus asiaticus (Chinese sucker), 629 nucleotides. RefSeq lists it as uncharacterized. Lineage: Eukaryota; Metazoa; Chordata; Actinopteri; Cypriniformes; Catostomidae. The record is from RefSeq and is a predicted model, not a curated record. The transcript has 4 exons.
CGCAGCGACCGUUACACCACAGGUGUGCAUUAACUUUCAAAACUUGGACGGUUUUGAUUAUGUUUUUCCACUUUUGUUUGUUUUCUCAACACAUUUUCAGGUUUUUAUCUUGGGUUGAUCACUUUCUGUAUACCUGUAACCGAGCGAUGCUGUGUUGCGGAUGCGGGCAUGAUAUAGAUAUGCCGCAUAAAAAAUCCAAACAUUCGAGAAGGCUGAAUCGCAUGAGAGACAGAUGCCGUUGGGGACCUGUAACUACUUCUCAGUUUGGAAUCCUGACUCCACUUCAAAGAUUGAAGGGAACUGGGUGCCUGUGUUUAAGGACAAGAUCCUGCACUUUGCCAACAGAAAGAAGUGGCUCUUCAUCUGCUUUCCAAUGUGGAAACUAUGACAGCAGACAAACAAGUUGACAUCGCCUUUCUGGUCCAUAUUGUGCUCUCAACAUUGAUACAUGAUUGGAAGGAAAAUGUUCGGACCAAGCUUCACAGGAACCAGGAAAGCCUUCAUUGACAUGCAGCCUUGAUGGCGGAGGGAGGCUUAAAAGGCACGCUGAAGCAUCAGAGGGGGAGAGAGUGUUCGUCAAGCACGACAGCCCGUACCCAGAGAGAGAUUGUGUUUGUUUAUGUUUAGAG